Non-coding RNA from Symsagittifera roscoffensis, 72 nucleotides. Lineage: Eukaryota; Metazoa; Xenacoelomorpha; Acoela; Convolutidae. The record is from the annotation of a RefSeq genome assembly.
GGGGAUAUAGUUCAGUGGUGGAGCAUUCGACUGCUGAUCGAGAGAUCCUUGUUUCGAAUCCGAGUGUCCCCU